This 491-nucleotide ribosomal RNA is filed under the name uncultured bacterium. RNAcentral's name for it is "partial 16S ribosomal RNA". It matches the Rfam family "Bacterial small subunit ribosomal RNA", at positions 29 to 506 of the family's 1533-position model. The record is from RNAcentral.
AGUGAACGCUGGCGGUAGGCCUAACACAUGCAAGUCGAACGGCAGCACAGUAAGAGCUUGCUCUUACGGGUGGCGAGUGGCGGACGGGUGAGGAAUACAUCGGAAUCUACUUUUUCGUGGGGGAUAACGUAGGGAAACUUACGCUAAUACCGCAUACGACCUACGGGUGAAAGCAGGGGAUCUUCGGACCUUGCGCGAUUGAAUGAGCCGAUGUCGGAUUAGCUAGUUGGCGGGGUAAAGGCCCACCAAGGCGACGACCCGUAGCUGGUCUGAGAGGAUGAUCAGCCACACUGGAACUGAGACACGGUCCAGACUCCUACGGGAGGCAGCAGUGGGGAAUAUUGGACAAUGGGCGCAAGCCUGAUCCAGCCAUACCGCGUGGGUGAAGAAGGCCUUCGGGUUGUAAAGCCCUUUUGUUGGGAAAGAAAAGCAGCAGGUUAAUACCCCGCUGUUCUGACGGUACCCAAAGAAUAAGCACCGGCUAACUUCGU